RNAcentral lists this ribosomal RNA (404 nucleotides) under Verrucomicrobiota bacterium. RNAcentral describes it as "Verrucomicrobia bacterium partial 16S ribosomal RNA". It matches the Rfam family "Bacterial small subunit ribosomal RNA", at positions 355 to 776 of the family's 1533-position model. Lineage: Bacteria; Pseudomonadati; Verrucomicrobiota. The record is from RNAcentral.
UGGGGAAUAUUGGACAAUGGGCGCAAGCCUGAUCCAGCCAUGCCGCGUGAGUGAUGAAGGCCCUAGGGUUGUAAAGCUCUUUCACCGGUGAAGAUAAUGACGGUAACCGGAGAAGAAGCCCCGGCUAACUUCGUGCCAGCAGCCGCGGUAAUACGUAGGGUGCGAGCGUUGUCCGGAAUUACUGGGCGUAAAGAGCUCGUAGGCGGUUUGUCACGUCGUCUGUGAAAUCCUAGGGCUUAACCCUGGACGUGCAGGCGAUACGGGCUGACUUGAGUACUACAGGGGAGACUGGAAUUUCUGGUGUAGCGGUGGAAUGCACAGAUAUCAGGAAGAACACCGAUGGCGAAGGCAGGUCUCUGGGUAGUAACUGACGCUGAGGAGCGAAAGCAUGGGUAGCGAACAGG